ACCCGCUGAACUUAAGCAUAUCAAUAAGCGGAGGAAAAGAAACCAACAGGGAUUGCCUCAGUAACGGCGAGUGAAGCGGCAAAAGCUCAAAUUUGAAAUCUGGCUCUUUCAGGGUCCGAGUUGUAAUUUGUAGAAGAUGCUUUGGGUGUGGCUCUGGUUUAAGUUCUUUGGAAUAUUACAUCAUAGAGGGUGAGAAUCCCGUAUGUGACCAGUCGCCGCCCCCGUGUAAAGCUCUUUCAACGAGUCGAGUUGUUUGGGAAUGCAGCUCAAAAUGGGAGGUAUAUUUCUUCUAAAGCUAAAUAUUGGCCAGAGACCGAUAGCGCACAAGUAGAGUGAUCGAAAGAUGAAAAGCACUUUGGAAAGAGAGUUAAACAGUACGUGAAAUUGUUGAAAGGGAAGCGCUUGCAACCAGACUUGCACGCAGUUGAUCAUCCGGUGUUCUCACCGGGGCACUCUGCUGCGUUCAGGCCAGCAUCGGUUUUGGUGGUUGGAUAAAGGCCUUGGGAAUGUAGCUUCUUUCGGGGAGUGUUAUAGCCCUCGGUGCAAUGCAGCCUACCGGGACCGAGGACCGCGCUUCGGCUAGGAUGCUGGCGUAAUGGUUGU
RNAcentral lists this ribosomal RNA (603 nucleotides) under uncultured fungus. Its description in RNAcentral is "eukaryotic LSU rRNA". It matches the Rfam family "Eukaryotic large subunit ribosomal RNA", at positions 23 to 641 of the family's 3401-position model. Lineage: Eukaryota; Fungi. The record is from RNAcentral.